This is a long non-coding RNA of Orbicella faveolata, 313 nucleotides long. The record is from RefSeq and is a predicted model, not a curated record. Lineage: Eukaryota; Metazoa; Cnidaria; Anthozoa; Scleractinia; Merulinidae.
AUGGGUGUACUUUGAUCCUUGAAGGUCUAUUUUAGGAAUCAACCUGGGAAACGUAUAAAUAUUCGGUCUGUAGUAGCGUGCACGUCUUCUAUCGGCAAUUGGCUCUGAGUUGUACGUCCUGUCUACGCGCUCGCGGCACUGGUGCUUACAAGUAUAGCUUUGAGAUUAUCCACUGUAGAAGAUGAAGAAAUCCACGGCGCGCGUGAUCAUUUUAGUAUUGAUAAUUCUACUUCAAAAGGUUGACCAAACCGAAGGAUUUGCGGCCCGUGGCGGCGGCUGUAUGCAGCACGUGCAUCCUGGUUCCUUGGGAAGG